AUUGAACGCUGGCGGCAUGCCUUACACAUGCAAGUCGAACGGCAGCACGGGGGCAACCCUGGUGGCGAGUGGCGAACGGGUGAGUAACGCAUCGGAAUGUACCCAGUAGUGGGGGAUAACUAGUCGAAAGAUUAGCUAAUACCGCAUACGCACUGAGGUGGAAAGCGGGGGAUCGCAAGACCUCGCGCUAUUGGAGCAGCCGAUGUCCGAUUAGGUAGUUGGUGGGGUAAAGGCCUACCAAGCCUGCGAUCGGUAACUGGUCUGAGAGGACGACCAGUCACACUGGGACUGAGACACGGCCCAGACUCCUACGGGAGGCAGCAGUGGGGAAUUUUGGACAAUGGGCGCAAGCCUGAUCCAGCAAUGCCGCGUGUGUGAAGAAGGCCUUGGGUUGUAAGCACUUUGUCGGGAGGCG
RNAcentral lists this ribosomal RNA (415 nucleotides) under uncultured bacterium. Its description in RNAcentral is "bacterial SSU rRNA". It matches the Rfam family "Bacterial small subunit ribosomal RNA", at positions 30 to 447 of the family's 1533-position model. The record is from RNAcentral.